RNAcentral lists this ribosomal RNA (460 nucleotides) under uncultured bacterium. RNAcentral describes it as "partial 16S ribosomal RNA". It matches the Rfam family "Bacterial small subunit ribosomal RNA", at positions 338 to 795 of the family's 1533-position model. The record is from RNAcentral.
ACUACGGGGGGCAGCAGUGAGGAAUAUUGGUCAAUGGACGAGAGUCUGAACCAGACAAGUAGCGUGAAGGAUGACUGCACUAUGGGUUGUAAACUUCUUUUAUAAAGGAAUAAAACGAGGCACGUGUGCCUUUUUGCAUGUACUUUAUGAAUAAGGAACGGCUAACUCCGUGCCAGCAGCCGGUGUAAUACGGAGGAUCCGAGCGUGAUCCGGAUUUAAUGGGUUUAAAGGGAGCGUAGAUGGGUUGUUAAGUCAGUUGUGAAAGUUUGCGGCUCAACCGUAAAAUUGCAAUUGAUACUGGCAGUCUUGAGUACAGUUGAGGUCGGCGGAAUUCGUGGUGUAGCGGUGAAAUGCUUAGAUAUCACGAAGAACCCCGAUUGCGAAGGCAGCUUACUAAACUGUGACUGACAUUGAUGCUCGAAAGUGUGUGUAUCAAACAGGAUUAGAUACCCGUGUAGUC